GGAGAGGUGUCCGAGAGGCCGAAGGAGCAUGACUGGAAAUCAUGUAUAGAUGUGAGUCUAUCGAGGGUUCGAAUCCCUCCCUCUCCGCCA
Molecule: transfer RNA, 90 nt
Filed under: bacterium
Lineage: Bacteria
Also listed under: 2 other names
Description: tRNA-Ser
Rfam family: tRNA
About the family: Transfer RNA (tRNA) molecules are approximately 80 nucleotides in length. Their secondary structure includes four short double-helical elements and three loops (D, anti-codon, and T loops). Further hydrogen bonds mediate the characteristic L-shaped molecular structure. tRNAs have two regions of fundamental functional importance: the anti-codon, which is responsible for specific mRNA codon recognition, and the 3' end, to which the tRNAs corresponding amino acid is attached (by aminoacyl-tRNA synthetases). tRNAs cope with the degeneracy of the genetic code in two manners: having more than one tRNA (with a specific anti-codon) for a particular amino acid; and 'wobble' base-pairing, i.e. permitting non-standard base-pairing at the 3rd anti-codon position.
Source: RNAcentral